GCGCUUUUGGAGCGGCCGAUGCCUGAUUAGCUAGUUGGUGAGGUAAAGGCUCACCAAGGCUUCGAUCAGUAGCUGGUCUGAGAGGACGACCAGCCACACUGGGACUGAGACACGGCCCAGACUCCUACGGGAGGCAGCAGUGGGGAAUUUUGGACAAUGGGGGAAACCCUGAUCCAGCCAUGCCGCGUGAGUGAAGAAGGCCUUCGGGUUGUAAAGCUCUUUCAGCCGGAACGAAACGGUCACGGCUAAUACCCGUGACAACUGACGGUACCGGAAGAAGAAGCACCGGCUAACUACGUGCCAGCAGCCGCGGUAAUACGUAGGGUGCGAGCGUUAAUCGGAAUUACUGGGCGUAAAGCGUGCGCAGGCGGUUUUGUAAGUCAGAUGUGAAAUCC
RNAcentral lists this ribosomal RNA (395 nucleotides) under uncultured ammonia-oxidizing bacterium. RNAcentral's name for it is "bacterial SSU rRNA". It matches the Rfam family "Bacterial small subunit ribosomal RNA", at positions 215 to 602 of the family's 1533-position model. The record is from RNAcentral.